CGCCCGAGGGGGCCCUUCUGGGAGCACCAGGGGACCUAAGGCGGGGCCAGCCCGGUAGUUCCGCAGGGCCACUCCUCAGGCCCCGCUCCGGGGGCUCCGGCAGGUCGGGGCCAGGGGCCUUUGUGAGCGCCCCAGGAGGGCGAGAGUCGGGAGUGCGGAGCCGUGUGUGCGGCGGCGGGGGGUGUGUGUGUGCGCGCCCGGGUGUGCGCGUGUGUGUGCGAGUGUGAGCGCCCAGGAGGGUGGGAGCGCGCGUUAGGGAUUCUGCUGGCAUCGCAGAGUGGAGAGCAGGAGGCAGGAGCGGGGCGCGCAGGGGAGCGCGGGGCCCUCCUGUGCACACGCACACACACAGAGCGCGCUCACACACACAUACACAUACACACACACACGCGCACACGCCCUCCCUGCCUCGCUCGUUGCCGCGGCCACCAUCUCAGAGCCGAGCCCUGCGGAGCGGGAACCCAAGCCGGAGCGGGAACAGGAGGGGAACAGAGCCGGGGAAUGCGGCCCCGGAGAGGAGCUGCGCGCGAAGUGCGCGCCCGGGACGCCUCCUGCUCCCACAGGCCCUGAGGCUCCUGUGCCCACAGGCAAAGAGAGAGACCGAGUCAAACCAGGCUGAUCCCGCAGCAGCUGCACUCCCCAAACGCCUGCCCACCCUGAGGUGUCCCUCUGAAGAGCCCCUGAGCCCGCUCACGCUACCCCCCCCCCC
Molecule: non-coding RNA, 706 nt
Organism: Kogia breviceps (pygmy sperm whale)
Lineage: Eukaryota; Metazoa; Chordata; Mammalia; Artiodactyla; Physeteridae
Source: RefSeq, a predicted model, not a curated record